GAUGAACGCUAGCGAUAGGCUUAACACAUGCAAGUCGAGGGGCAGCACAAGGUAGCUUGCUAUCUGGGUGGCGACCGGCGCACGGGUGCGUAACGCGUAUGCAACUUGCCCUAUACAGGAGGAUAACCCGUCGAAAGACGGACUAAUACUGCGUAUGCUCACAACUUGGCAUCAAGUGGUGAGGAAAGAAAUUCGGUAUAGGAUAGGCAUGCGUCCCAUUAGCUUGUUGGUGAGGUAACGGCUCACCAAGGUAACGAUGGGUAGGGGAACUGAGAGGUUUAUCCCCCACACUGGUACUGAGACACGGACCAGACUCCUACGGGAGGCAGCAGUGAGGAAUAUUGGUCAAUGGGCGCGAGCCUGAACCAGCCAAGUCGCGUGAAGGAUGACUGUCUUAUGGAUUGUAAACUUCUUUUAUACGGGAAUAACAAGAGUCACGUGUGACUCCCUGCAUGUACCGUAUGAAUAAGCAUCGGCUAACUCCGUG
RNAcentral lists this ribosomal RNA (487 nucleotides) under uncultured bacterium. RNAcentral's name for it is "partial 16S ribosomal RNA". It matches the Rfam family "Bacterial small subunit ribosomal RNA", at positions 28 to 507 of the family's 1533-position model. The record is from RNAcentral.